This 309-nucleotide ribosomal RNA is filed under the name uncultured bacterium. RNAcentral describes it as "partial 16S ribosomal RNA". It matches the Rfam family "Bacterial small subunit ribosomal RNA", at positions 504 to 807 of the family's 1533-position model. The record is from RNAcentral.
AGAGACAGCAGCCGCCACGGGAAUACGUAGGUGGCAAGCGUAGUCCGGAAUUAUUGGGCGUAAAGGGCUCGCAGGCGGUUUCUUAAGUCUGAUGUGAAAGCCCCCGGCUCAACCGGGGAGGGUCAUUGGAAACUGGGAAACUUGAGUGCAGAAGAGGAGAGUGGAAUUCCACGUGUAGCGGUGAAAUGCGUAGAGAUGUGGAGGAACACCAGUGGCGAAGGCGACUCUCUGGUCUGUAACUGACGCUGAGGAGCGAAAGCGUGGGGAGCGAACAGGAUUAGAUACCCCUGUAGUACCUGUCUCUUAUAC